Molecule: long non-coding RNA, 4449 nt
Filed under: Oreochromis niloticus (Nile tilapia)
Lineage: Eukaryota; Metazoa; Chordata; Actinopteri; Cichliformes; Cichlidae
Description: lncRNA (ENSONIG00000041315.1)
Source: RNAcentral
CAAAAAUUAUCAUACAAGUUUCUCUUUGUAUCCAUAUUUAAAACAUGAUGGAGAAGAAUUGAGCCUUUAUACGAGGGGCAGCUUGUGUGUUUAUCCAGCAGCUCCAGCACCAGGAAACAAGAGAAAGCCCCCAUUGGUAGUGGUGGAAGCAGGAAAAGGUUGGAGACUGCGAGGCUGGCGAGAGGAGAGGUGAAUGGAGACGGGGAGAGAGAGAGAGAAGGAGAAAGAAACUCUUUGAGUGACAGUAAUUUGGGAACCUGGACUUUUUAUGACUUUCCUCCUUUUGGGAAAACACACAGACUUCGGGGUAUAGCACUUGGGACCAUAUCAAAGACAUCUUUUACCAUCAGAAGCAGGACUGCUGCCGCGUGUGUUGUCUUCCAAAGCGCAGGCUACAUCCCAGAGGCGUCCCCGACAAUAAUCCUCAAAGAGAAUUGCUGAUGAAUAGAGUGACAAACCGUGGCUGUGGAAACGGAGUGAGGCAACGGUCUGUGAUGAUCUUGGCGGCUGGUGAGGAUUUGGCAUGCAGACCAAGGGCUACAGCAGCAGCACCACAUGCGGCCUUUUCCCUCAGGAUAAUAACUGCCUGUGGAGGAGAGAGGGAGAAAACCUGCAAGGAUCAGCCUUCCUGUUCACACCCCAUCAUCCAUGAGCUGGCAGGAUCCUUGUGUUGUUAUGGUCAUGAGACAUUUCCUGUGUGUGUUUUGGGGUUGCAUCUGGGCUUGUUUACAGCCUAUGCUAGAGCCUCAUUAAGUGGAACAUGGUACUAGGCGGAUGUGGCGGAGGGGGGCUCAAGUGCCUAUUAGUGGGGCCAGUCUGUAGCCCCAAACCAGAACCCAACUGGGCCAGGUGCUUCAGCCGGGUUUCCAAAAUACAGCCAAACAUGGCGAAGGAAAGCUUACUCAUUAGGAAAGUGUGCAAUUAAUUAAAAAACCCAGAUGUAUCAUCCACGGAGGCCUCAGAUGCAGAAUUAAAUAAUGCUGGUGAUAUUCUGUGUUUCAUUUCUUAACACAUGCUUAACACACUCCACACCAUCAGACUACUAAUUCAAAAUUUCUGAUCAUAAUAUUUAAGCUUUUGGGGAUUUUUUAAAGAAUAAAUGAUUUGUGUGUAUUUGUUGAGCACUAAUUCCAGCUGCGUAUAUUAAUACAUAACACCACAUUUAUCGUAAUGAACUGGGAAACAAGCAACUCCUUGGUAGUGGGAUUUUUUUGAAGUUCAAAAGUUCAAAGGAGGACCCGAAAAUAAAGGUGCAAAGUGUGCACGACGCCAGGCUGCAAAAACAAAGAGUGAGGCCUAAUUUAAGAAAAAAGACUCACAGCAAUCCAGCCCAGUUCAGUAAAAGGUCAACCAAAGCAGAAAAAACAGGUAGAAAAAUCUCGAGUCAAGGCAUCAGCUGAACCACAGGGGGACUGGCAAUCUCAAAACAACAGCCAGGCAGAGCUUUAAACUGCCUAUGUUACAGAAAAAUGUGAUUAUAAUGCAUUACUUUUUACUGUGUUACAGCCAGCGCGAGUAAAGCUGUGUGUGGACAACUUAGGACAAACUUUUCUUUUGUUUCUUUAAAUUACUUACAGAUUAUAUUCAGGUUGCAGUUAUAUGAUGAUGACUUAGAGUGCAAUUGCUUGAAUUUAAGGAGCUGAACAAAACAAUCUAUUUUAAUACAGUCCCAUUUGCAGAGAGUCAAGUGAAAACUGGCUGCCCGAAGUCUGAAACCUAUGGAUCUCAAUAACUUUUCUUCUUUGUGAUGCUUUGCCAGGUCUUUCCUUCUGCUGUCUUCAAGUGCAAUUCAGCUAAGUUAUGUUGUGAUAAAUCUGAUUGGGCAAUUGCAGAAUGUUCCUCCUUCUUUACCUAAAGCCUAAAACCCUCAGGUUUCUUCCUGAGUAUCUUUUGGGUUAGUGUUUAUCUGCACUUUGAAGCACAGUCCAAUCAACUUUCCCUCAUUUGGUGGAAUCCGAGCUGGAAGUAAAGCUCCGUACACAUCGCAGCUCAUCAUUUCUGUCUUCUGUCAAAUCACUAAUAAACACGAGUGACCCAGCGCCACUGGAAGCUAUGCAUGUCCAUACAUCACACUGGCUCCAGUCUGUUUUACAGAGGACGUGUCAUUCUCUUUAAGAUAUCCAAAGAAUGCAGUUCCAGCGCCGGUCUGCUGUUUUAGAUGUUUUUGCAAAGCCUAAUCUGUUUUUUUCUGUUCUUGCAGCUGAUGGCUGGUUUUUCUUGUUUUCCCUUUAAAACACCCUGCCACAUAGUGAGCGCAUUCUUCACUUGAUUUUAUGUGUUAUAUAUCUGAAGAGGUCUUUGCUAUGGAAAGGAUCCCAUGAUCAUCCACCACUCCUAUCUUCAGUCAACAUCCAGGCCUUUUUGUGUUGUUGUGUUUUUUUUUUCCAUCCUUUUUGCAGCCCCAGGACUUCUCUUCUAAAAGAGCUUCUUCUACUACAAGUUGGGUUGAGAGAGUUUCCAAAUUCAAAUGUUACACUUCUAAUCACAUGCUGACAUUUUAACUGCUUAACUAACUGAUGAAAAGGCCACACUUGUACAUAUUUUAAGUCCAGUUAUAUUUAAGCCCGGGUGUCAAACUUAUUUUACAUCAAGUGUCAGUGUAAAGAUGUUUAACUACACAUUUAAUCCCUGAGAUAUCUUAAUAAAUAAAAUGAAGAGGUACAAUUACACCAUCACAUUUCAAUUAUUCUACAUGAUAAAAGUGUACAAUUACAGAAAAGGUUCUGGUAGCUCACUGCCCGGACUGUUUCGUAUUUCUAAAACUUGAACUUUUAACCAAAAUUUCUAUAUUAGCCAAUUAAAAGCAUGAUUUUUUUUUGUCAUGUCAUUUUUUUAAAUAUUAUUUAACUACUUUGGUGUAGUAUAAAUGCCUGUGAGGGAGGUCUUUAUCAGCAGGAAAAGCAGCUGUAAAACUUCAAAAAGUUCAAAACUUUAUUCCUGCCGUCAUGUUUUCCCAAAACUGUCCAGUGGUCCGGAUUGGAGUCUUUUCUGGGCCAAUUCUGGCCCCAGGGCCUUAUGUUUGACACCUCUGCCCUGGACGGUGACUCAGUCUAAAACCUUGUGCGAGUGUAUGAUGUAAAUGUAGACACAGGCAGGUGAUCCAGCUGGCGGGAACAAGACAAAUGCACAAAGUAAAACUAAACAUGAAACACAAGGUAAAAACAAAACAAUUCCGGGUUUUAGAAAUUCAGUACUGAUUUUGUGUCUUUUCUUGGAAUUAGUCUAAUGGGAAUCGCCCUUCAUGGCUGCUAAAUGAGUCUCUUUGAUUAGCAUGAGCAUACUGAGGCGUUCUUGAUACCUCCUUUCUUUCUGUGCAUAUCCAAGUAGCCAUCUUAUUAAUGUGCGCACAACUAUGAGACCCUCAGAGCGGCAGCUUCAUGAAUUCCUGCUACGUUCCAGUGUGAAGCGUCUUGCACAGACAGAGGACAAAGCAGAGAGGGAUUAACAUCUCCCGCCUUUCGGCACAUGCACACUCGCGCUGUGUAACGCUUAACAUAAUCAAACACUCACCCAGUGUGACACACAACACAACCAAACACUCUUCUGGGGCUACACUACUAAAACAAACCCGCGCUAGAACCCCAGGGGCCAAGGAGAGAGGUGGAGGAGCUGAGGAGGCGGAUAUGAGGGAGGCCAAGCACUCCUGGUGUUUAUGCUGAGCAGCCAGCGACUGGGAAACGCUCGGAACACGAUCCUCAUGUUUUCCUUACCCCAGCUAAUCCGACAAAACGACAGAGGGAGCAGAUUCCGUUACAGAGAAAGCUGCCACUUAGAUAUUUAUCCUCGCUAAGGCAAACAUCUGGCCCCGGUGGGCUUUUUUCAUAGGGCGAUAUGAGUGGGUGUGAUACUCUGCUACAUUUAUUAGGGUGUGAAGCUCUAAUUAAAAGUGAAAGCGAUGCCCGCCGGCCAACCACGACAGUUUUCUCUAUCCCCCCCCCCCAAGGUUCAUCUGCAGGUAGGAUGAAGCGAGAAGAGCGUUACGGCCUGUUGAAUAAAACACAAGCAGAUGUCAGAAAAAUGAGAAUGCAAACAAAUACAAACAAAUACAAAGACAGGGAGAAAGGGCAGAGGCAGAGAGGAGAUGUAGGGGAUUUAUCUGCUAAGGAGGUGCUCAGGGUGUGAAAUUUCCUCUCUUGCUGUUUGUUUUCACUUGCAGUCAGAUGGAACAGCCUGAGUUACAGACAAAGUGCCCACUGCCCUUACACACCGAGACGGGCGUAUUGCUUACAGGGAAAUCUGCUUACUCUCCUGGGUCUGCUUUUCCAGAAGCACCCUUGCAUGCAAGAUCGCUUCUGUCAACCGGCUAACGGGGGAACAAGAACCAUUCUUAUCCAGACUGAGGACGAAAACUGCAGGGCAAUUCCCAGCAUUCAUAUAUUAUAUAUAUAUAUAUAUAUAUUUUAUUUUAUUUUUUUGCAGUUUUAUGCUUUGAAGGGACAUCUUCAUCAC